RNAcentral lists this ribosomal RNA (30 nucleotides) under uncultured bacterium. RNAcentral describes it as "partial 16S ribosomal RNA". The record is from RNAcentral.
GGGGAACCUGCGGCUGGAUCACCUCCCUUC